AACAAAGAGGAAUGAAGAGAAAAAGAACGAAGUGAAAGUGAAGAAAGGGCGUGCGCUUCACUUACCCCUUUUGUUCAUUUCACUUCAGUUCUUUAUCCUUCAUUC
RNAcentral lists this non-coding RNA (105 nucleotides) under Symbiodinium sp. CCMP2430. Lineage: Eukaryota; Dinophyceae; Suessiales; Symbiodiniaceae. The record is from RNAcentral.